Molecule: long non-coding RNA, 2828 nt
Organism: Salvelinus fontinalis (brook trout)
Lineage: Eukaryota; Metazoa; Chordata; Actinopteri; Salmoniformes; Salmonidae
Exons: 6
Source: RefSeq, a predicted model, not a curated record
AAUGUCAUCUUAAUGAGGAGUGCUGUGAAACUCUGGGCUCAGCUCUCCAGUCACCCGACUCAGACCUGCGAGAGCUGGACCUCAGCUACAACGACAUGGGAGACCCAGGAGUUCUGUGUCUUGAUGCUGGACUGAUGAGUCCACACUGCAAACUGGAGAAACUGGCGUGAGUCAUUUAUAAUACACAGCCGUAAGAAUUUAGUUGUUGCCAAUAAAAAAGACCAAUGGUAUUAAACAUGGUGCUACUGCCUCUACACUAUGGUGGUGUGAAAUAUUUAAUAUAUUGUACACUAUUCAUGACAUCAUGAUUAACCAUGUGGAAGGUGUGAUUUUUUUUCCUAGCAAUGUGUAGAAAAUUGACAAGUACAGUUUUAACAUCCUGUAACAAAGUUUAUAUUGAUAUAUAAACCUCUUAAUUUCUUAAGACUUGCUGGCUGCAAGCUCACAGAUAAAUAAUUUGAAGUUGUGGCCUUUGCUUUAAUGUCUGGGCACUCAAACUUGAGAGAGGUGGAUUUGAGCUACAAUGUGGGUGAUUCAGGAAUACUGCUGAUCUGUGAUGGACUGGUCCGCCCUCACUGCAAACACUAAGGCUUGCUGGCUGUAAUAUAUCCAGAGAAUCUUGUGAGACUCUGGCCUCAGCUCUCCCGUUGGCAGAUCCACGGCUAACAAAGCCUCUGCUACAAUAACGUUGGGAGGUCAGAGAUUAAGAAGUCGUGUGCUGCUGGACAGAGCUGUACACUUUGGGAACUAGACUUCCCACGAUUUGGAAGAAUCUGGAGCAUGGUUCCUCAAUGGACUUCUGGGCCAACAAUGUAGUCUAGAGAAACUAGCAUUGUCUGGCUGUAAUCUGACACAUGAAUCCCUAGAAACUCUGGCCUCAGCUCUCCAGUCACCAUCUGAUUGAGCUGGACCUCAGCUACAACAACCUGGGUGACUGAGAUUCAAUUGUGGGAAAUGGCCUGAGAAGUCCACAUUGCAAACUUGCCAACCUAGGAUUGGCUGGCUGUUACCUUUCAUAUGGAUGUUGUGAAACUCUGGUAUCAGCAUUCAUGCCUCAAAACACAUGCCUGAGAGAGCUGGACAUCAGCUACAACAACCUUGGGGACUGUGGAGUGUACCUGCUCUGUGCUGGACUGACCAGUCCACUCUGUCAUAUAGAGAUACUGCAGUGAGUAUUGUUGUGUGUACCAUACAGACAAGGCAAAAUGUUCAAUGAAGGCACAAAAAUCCAUGUACAAACAUUUUUGUAGUGUCAAUCUUAUAACAAGUAAUUGUUGCCUCAGCUUGCAAUGCCUCACUUUAUAGCAUUUCUGGGCCUGUGCAGGUUUGAUAUAACCUUUAUAUUCUACCUCAUCUCUUUCUCUUCAUCUGAGGGAGUGUAAUAUGACAGGUGUGUGCUGUUCAGAUUUGGCCACAGUUUUGUGUUCAUCCAACUCAAAGCUGAAAGAAUUGGAACUACGAGACAACAACCUGCAAAACUCAGGAGUUGCACUUCUCUCUGCUGUGCUCAGAGACAUACAUUGUGAAGUACAGAGAUUGGGGUUGUCUGGCUGUAGAAUCACAGAGGAAGGCUGUAUUUAUCUGGCUUCGGCUCUGAGAUCCAACCCUUCACACCUGAAAGAGCUGGACCUGAGUUACAAUCACCCAGGCGACUCGGGAGUGAAGCAGCUCUCUGCUGUACUGGAAGAUCCACACAGUAUGCUGAAGAAACUCAGAUGCCUGUCUGCUCAGUCUGGACCCAAACACAGUGCACCCACAUCUGUCACGCUCAAAGGGGAACCGAGAGGUGACGCGAAACGUAAAGAACCUGCAACCUCUUGAUCUCCUAGUUAGAUUUCAGCACUGUCGCCAAAUUCUGGGCAAAGAGUAUCUGACUUCACGCUGUUACUGGGAAAUAGAGUGGAGCAGGACGAACGUUGACGUCGGAGCCACAUAUAAAAAGAAUCAACAGGAAAGGCGAGGGCUCGGAAAGCAUGAUCGGGAUGAAUAACAAGUCCUUUAGCUUGGUCUGUCAUCGUGAAGGCAAUCACUUCUGUCACAAUGGGAGAAGCAUUAGUCCAGACACAUUUGGGGUGUGUCUGGACUGGCCGGCUGGCACUCUCGCCUUCUACAGUGUCGCCAGUGACACAGCGACCCACCUGCAUACAUUCCAAACCACGUUUACAGAGCCCCCCCAUCCCGCGUUUGGAGUUUACAUGGGCUCAAAGCUGACACUUUGUCAGUUAGACUAGAGAGUCAAUCAGCAUAUAUUCAGUGCAUACAGAGUAGUAUAUUAUAUAUGAGAUGUGAUAGUAAAAUGUGUGUCUCCUGUAGUCCAUCUGCUGCAUUGCAUUGUACCAAUUGUGUAUAUAGUAGUUUAAGUUACUGCUGACCUCACAAUCUUUUGGAUAUUAUUAGGUUCUAGUCCUCAGAGUAAACUCACACACUAUGAAAGCUUAAACCAAGUUAAUUCUUCCCAGAGGAUCAAGACAGCUGCAUUAGACAAUGACAUUUCACACAAGCACUGAUAUUUUAACCCUUUCUCAUAGGCGGAGUCUCCUCCUCCACAUCUGAACAGCCAACACAUCUCUUUUGCUAGACAGAACCUUAGUGAUAACUGUUCUUCCGCACUUCAUCUGAUCUGACCUCUACCCCAAAGUGCUCACUCCCCAAUUCAAGGCUGUCAUGGUGAUUUGUACCAGACUGUGUCUCUUCUCAUAGGAUCCCUGAUGCCUAACAAUAACAAAUCCUGACAAUGUAAAUGUUAUACAUUACCCUCUCUCCCUCAGUGACAUGAAUAAGUACAUUUCAUUCUCAGAACCCAAUAAUACAGAUAAUAAAACUACUGU